This 766-nucleotide non-coding RNA is filed under the name Gonioctena leprieuri. Lineage: Eukaryota; Metazoa; Arthropoda; Insecta; Coleoptera; Chrysomelidae. The record is from RNAcentral.
CAAAAGUUUUAUUUUUCCUUAAUAAUUAGGUUUUAUUUUAAUUUAAAUGUAAAUUUUGGUAUAUAUAAAUUUUUAAAAAAUUUUUUUAUUGCAAUAAAUAUUAUUAAAUAUUAAAGAAAUUUAGAUUUAGUGAUAAUAAAAAACAUUAACAAAAUUUGUGCCAGCAGUUGCGGUUAUACAAAUAAUGUAAUUUAAUUUUAUUAGUAUUAAUUAAUUUAUAAUUAAGUAAUUAUAAUUAAAAAUUAAAAAGGUGAAAUUUAUAAUUUUUAUUUAAAUUAUAAAGUUUUAAUGAAGUUAAGAAAUUUAUUUAAUAAACUAGGAUUAGAUACCCUAUUAUUAUAAAUGUAAUUUUUAAUAACUAAAUUAGUAUUAGUUAUGUUCUUGAAAAUUAAAGAUUUUGGCGGUAUUUUAGUCUAUUCAGAGGAACCUGUUCUGUAAUUGAUAAUCCACGAUUUAAUUUACUUUUUUUAUUAGUUUACAUAUCAUCGUAAUUGAAUAUUUUAUAAGAAUAAUAAUAUUCAAGAAUUUAUAUAAAAAAAUAAGUCAGAUCAAGGUGUAGUUUAUAUUAAAGAAGAAAUGGGUUACAUUAAAUAUAAUUUAGGAUUAUUAUUUUUAAAAUAAUAUUAAUUUGGAUUUGAAAGUAAUUUUAAUUAAUUAAUUAAUUUGAUUUUAGCUCUAAAAUAUGCACAUAUCGCCCGUCGCUUUCAUUAUAAUAUGAGAUAAGUCGUAACAAAGUAGAUUUACUGGAAAGUGAAUCUAGAAAGUU